Molecule: ribosomal RNA, 373 nt
Filed under: uncultured organism
Description: partial 16S ribosomal RNA
Rfam family: Bacterial small subunit ribosomal RNA
Source: RNAcentral
GUAGGUGGCAAGCGUUGUCCGGAAUUAUUGGGCGUAAAGCGCGCGCAGGCGGUUCUUUAAGUCUGAUGUGAAAGCCCACGGGCUCAACCGUGGAGGGUCAUUGGAAACUGGAGAACUUGAGUACAGAAGAGGAAAGCGGAAUUCCACGUGUAGCGGUGAAAUGCGUAGAGAUGUGGAGGAACACCAGUGGCGAAGGCGGCUUUCUGGUCUGUAACUGACGCUGAGGCGCGAAAGCGUGGGGAGCAAACAGGAUUAGAUACCCUGGUAGUCCACGCCGUAAACGACGAGCGCUAAGUGUUAGGGGGUUUCCGCCCCUUAGUGCUGCAGCUAACGCAUUAAGCACUCCGCCUGGGGAGUACGGCCGCAAAGGCUG